Molecule: transfer RNA, 67 nt
Filed under: Marmota monax (woodchuck)
Lineage: Eukaryota; Metazoa; Chordata; Mammalia; Rodentia; Sciuridae
Description: tRNA.Ala
Source: RNAcentral
GGUCAUGGUUCAGUGGUAGAGCACUUGCUUAGCAUGUGUGACGCACUGGGUUCAAUCCCCAGUACCA